CGCCCUCUAGCUAUAGCUACUCGACUUGUUUAUUUGCUGAAGGGGUGUGGGGUUGAACAUAUGGUAUGCUAAAACAUGGACUUGUAGUUUGGAAGGCCACAGGACCCCAGGGAGUAGAGCUGAGGGAGCCAAGGGGGCCUGGGUGAUUGGACCCUGUCUCCCUCCAUUCCUCCCGCUUGGCUAGCCAGGGCCAAGGCAGCCUAUAAUCUUGCUCAGAGAACCAGAGCCAUAGCUGCAGUGUCCUCUCUCUACUAACUCCCACAAGCCCCCGUCCAUUGCCCGCUGCUCCCCAGCUGAUCCCCCCCCCCCACUCCACACCGCUGCAGGUAACACCCAGGAACGGGGGGUUCGCCAGCGGGCUGGGGCAGUGGUUGCAGCUGGGACAUACACUGACACCAUCCAGGCUUCUUGUUCCCAAGGGUGUGAGGGCAAGAGGCGGCAUCGCACUGAGCUCUGGUGCUAAGGGUAGAAGGGCAUGGUCAUGGACAUGCUGGUGGUGCUGUAUCCCCCAAAGGCUACCAGAUAUUUGGUGACACCCCCACAGGUGCCACGACAACCGAGACCCCGCCUCCUCGGGGUGUGGAUGGGGGGCAGCUGGUAACCGUGGGUGGAGACUGACACGAUGAGCUGAACCAAGAGACGAUGCACCAGCUGCUUCCUAUCACUGUCUGACAACACAGGAGCAGUGAGUGUCAAGUCCAUGUCUCUGUGUCUCUGGACAAUGACAGAUAUAUCAAUGUCAUUAGGAGUGACAUGGUUGACCGACAUCUCAAUCAAAAACAGAAUGAGAGUUACCUCUCUCUUCACCUAUUCCAAUAGAGGGUCAUGUAAACUGUGUUUAUCUUGUUAAAUGGAUUUUGUAUUAACUCAGGAGAAAUAGAAGGGCAUCAAUAUCUGGAGAGAAAAAGAAACCAGUCAUAUACUCUUUGACAUUUGCCCUUUUCAGAGAUUAACCAAGCUCACUUCAGAGGCUGCAUUUUAAAAAGUUUGGACCGUGUCCAUCACUCGUCUUUCCUCCCUGGUAUAAUUGUAUGAGGGCAUUUGAGUGGAAAACUGAAAAUGUCUCAAUCCUCCUGCUUCAUGCUCCCAGGGCUUUUCGCUUCCUUCACUCCCACUACAGCCUGGUCUCAUAGACUAGACGUAACAUUGUAAACUUAAAUCGGGGACAAUCAAAUUAGUAUGAUAUGUUACGUUUGGUAUGGUUACAUAACACGGAAGGUCACUUAAGGCAAAAACAAAAGUAGGGUAGUUGGUCAGGGUGGAUGGGUAGGCGUAUAAAGCGAAUGUCUAGCAACCCAAAGGUUGUGUGUUCAAAUCUCAUCAAGGACAACUUCAGCAUUUUAGAUACUUAGCAACUACUUACUACUUUUGAACUACUUUGCAACUAGCUAACGCUUCCCCUAACCUUAACCCCUAGGUUAGCCUCUCUAGGCUAGGCGGGACGAAUUCGUCCCACCUACGUAACAGCCACUGCUAUCCUGUGGCGCGAUUUUCAAAACCUUAAAAAUCCUAUUACUUCAAUUUCUCAAACAUAUGACUAUUUUACAGCCAUUUAAAGAUAAGACUCUCGUUAAUCUAACC
This 1581-nucleotide long non-coding RNA is filed under the name Salmo salar (Atlantic salmon). Its description in RNAcentral is "lncRNA (ENSSSAG00000110994.1)". Lineage: Eukaryota; Metazoa; Chordata; Actinopteri; Salmoniformes; Salmonidae. The record is from RNAcentral.